Molecule: long non-coding RNA, 689 nt
Organism: Gasterosteus aculeatus aculeatus (three-spined stickleback)
Lineage: Eukaryota; Metazoa; Chordata; Actinopteri; Perciformes; Gasterosteidae
Source: Ensembl
AGAGCAGCUAGCUUGGCUACAAGACUGCUCACGUCUAAGCAUUAGCAUUAGCUUUAGCAUUAGCAAGUGUAGUUUCAAUGUCGGUCCUAUGGUGGAAUAGUUUCAAGUGCUUUUCAGAACCAUUUCACGAUAAUCUAUUUGAACAAACAAACACAUUUGAUCAUUUCUAAAAUCUGGAUUAAAGACCGUUCAAAUCAGUCGCGGUUUAAAUGUCAAAUGCGAUUUAUCAAACGGCUAAAGGCAGCGGAGCAGUUUGCAGAUAGGGAGGACGAGUUGCUGUGCAGGCGUCAGUGAGUUAGAGCGUGGCAGAGAGGUUUAUUGCGUACUGUGGCAACCCACGGGCGCAGCACUCCGGACAGCGCCUCAAGAGAGCAGCACAAAGGGCAGGGCACCAACGAGCAAGAGGUCAGGUGACCAGGAGGGGAAACACCCCGCCCCCUCAGGAGACAAUGAGCGGCCCAGGUGCAGCUCAUAAGGCUGAUGAAGGUUGGCCACACUAUAAAAGACCAACCAUCCCAACAGCCCAGCAGACAAGACGAAGGAGACUGAAGGCCGAACAAACCUGCUGAACCGCACCCUCAAAAGAGGAAGAACCUAAGUUUCCAUUUUUUUGUUACUUUGUACGUUAUAAUAAAUCGUACCCUUUUCUUGGGCGACUAGACGUGCUUCUGAGUCCGGCGAUUCCACCC